ACUCCUACGGGAGGCAGCAGUGGGGAAUAUUGCACAAUGGGGGAAACCCUGAUGCAGCCAUGCCGCGUGUGUGAAGAAGGCCUUCGGGUUGUAAAGCACUUUCAGUAGGGUAGGAAGGUAGUGUAGUUAACACCUGCAUUAUUUGUACGUUACCUACAGAAGAAGCACCGGCUAACUCCGUGCCAGCAGCCGCGGUAAGUACGGAGGGUGCGAGCGUUAAUCGGUAAUUACUGGGCGUAAAGCGCAUGCAGGCGGCCUGUUAAGUCAGAUGUGAAACGCCCGGGGUCUUAACCUCGGAAUUGCAUUUGAAACUGGCAGGCUAGAGUCUUGUAGAGGGGUUAGAA
Molecule: ribosomal RNA, 344 nt
Filed under: uncultured bacterium
Lineage: Bacteria
Description: bacterial SSU rRNA
Rfam family: Bacterial small subunit ribosomal RNA
Source: RNAcentral